RNAcentral lists this ribosomal RNA (301 nucleotides) under uncultured bacterium. RNAcentral describes it as "partial 16S ribosomal RNA". It matches the Rfam family "Bacterial small subunit ribosomal RNA", at positions 509 to 807 of the family's 1533-position model. The record is from RNAcentral.
CAGCAGCCGCGGUAAUACGUAGGUGGCAAGCGUUGUCCGGAAUUAUUGGGCGUAAAGGGCUCGUAGGCGGUCUCUUAAGUCUGAUGUGAAAGCCCCCGGCUCAACCGGGGAGGGUCAUUGGAAACUGGGAAACUUGAGUGCAGAAGAGGGGAGUGGAAUUCCACGUGUAGCGGUGAAAUGCGUAGAGAUGUGGAGGAACACCAGUGGCGAAGGCGACUCUCUGGUCUGUAACUGACGCUGAGGAGCGAAAGCGUGGGGAGCGAACAGGAUUAGAUACCCCGGUAGUCCCUGUCUCUUAUAC